This 301-nucleotide ribosomal RNA is filed under the name uncultured bacterium. RNAcentral describes it as "partial 16S ribosomal RNA". It matches the Rfam family "Bacterial small subunit ribosomal RNA", at positions 509 to 807 of the family's 1533-position model. The record is from RNAcentral.
CAGUCGCCACGGUAAUACGUAGGGUGCAAGCGUCAAUCGGAAUUACUGGGCGUAAAGCGUGCGCAGGCGGUUCGCUAAGACAGAUGUGAAAUCCCCGGGCUUAACCUGGGAACUGCAUUUGUGACUGGCGGGCUAGAGUAUGGCAGAGGGGGGUAGAAUUCCACGUGUAGCAGUGAAAUGCGUAGAGAUGUGGAGGAAUACCGAUAGCGAAGGCAGCCCCCUGGGCCAAUACUGACGCUCAUGCACGAAAGCGUGGGGAGCAAACAGGAUUAGAUACCCCUGUAGUCCCUGUCUCUUAUAC